This 475-nucleotide ribosomal RNA is filed under the name Gargantuoidea triumphalis. Its description in RNAcentral is "partial large subunit ribosomal RNA". It matches the Rfam family "Bacterial large subunit ribosomal RNA", at positions 1920 to 2610 of the family's 2925-position model. The record is from RNAcentral. Lineage: Eukaryota; Metazoa; Arthropoda; Insecta; Phasmatodea; Lonchodidae.
AUUUUUAAUGGCCGCGGUAUUUUGACCGUGCAAAGGUAGCAUAAUCAUUAGUUUAUUAAUUGUGGACUUGUAUGAAUGGUUUAACGAGAUAUCAGCUGUCUCAUUUAUAUUUUUAGAAUUUAAAUUUUAAGUUAAAAUGCUUAAAUUUAUUUAUAGGACGAGAAGACCCUAUAGAUCUUUAUUAUUAUAUUUAUUGAUAUUUUUUUGUUUAUUUGUUUUUGAUUUGUAUAAUUUUUUUGUUGGGGUGACAUUGAGAUAUAAUUAACUCUUUAUUUUUUAUUCAUUUAUUUUUGUUUAUUUGACCUUUUAUUAUUUUUAUAAGAUAUAGAUACCUUAGGGAUAACAGCGUAAUACUUUUUGAGAGUUCAUAUCGAUAAAGGAGAUUGCGACCUCGAUGUUGGAUUAAGAAUAUUUUUAGGUGUAGAUGCUUAAUAAAUAAGUCUGUUCGACUUUUAAAUUCUUACAUGAUCUGAGU